Molecule: small nuclear RNA, 100 nt
Organism: Ictidomys tridecemlineatus (thirteen-lined ground squirrel)
Lineage: Eukaryota; Metazoa; Chordata; Mammalia; Rodentia; Sciuridae
Source: Ensembl
GUGCUUGCUUUGGCAGCACAUACACUGAAAUUGGAACUAUAAAGAAAGCAUUGCCCCUGCUCAAGGAUGACACGCAAAUUUUGAAGCAUUCCAUAUUUUU